RNAcentral lists this transfer RNA (88 nucleotides) under Estrella lausannensis. It matches the Rfam family "tRNA". From Rfam's summary of the family: Transfer RNA (tRNA) molecules are approximately 80 nucleotides in length. Their secondary structure includes four short double-helical elements and three loops (D, anti-codon, and T loops). Further hydrogen bonds mediate the characteristic L-shaped molecular structure. tRNAs have two regions of fundamental functional importance: the anti-codon, which is responsible for specific mRNA codon recognition, and the 3' end, to which the tRNAs corresponding amino acid is attached (by aminoacyl-tRNA synthetases). tRNAs cope with the degeneracy of the genetic code in two manners: having more than one tRNA (with a specific anti-codon) for a particular amino acid; and 'wobble' base-pairing, i.e. permitting non-standard base-pairing at the 3rd anti-codon position. Lineage: Bacteria; Pseudomonadati; Chlamydiota; Chlamydiia; Parachlamydiales; Candidatus Criblamydiaceae. The record is from Rfam by way of RNAcentral.
GGAAAGAUGGCUGAGUGGCCGAAAGCGCGUCCCUGCUAAGGACGUAUACCCCUAAAGGGUAUCGAGGGUUCGAAUCCCUCUCUUUCCG